UACAGAGGGGGCAAGCGUUGUUCGGAAUUACUGGGCGUAAAGGGCGCGUAGGCGGCCGCCUAAGUCAGACGUGAAAUCCCUCGGCUCAACCUGGGAACUGCGUUCGAAACUGUGGGUCUAGAGUGUCGGAGAGGAUGGCGGAAUUCCUGGUGUAGAGGUGAAAUUCGUAGAUAUCAGGAGGAACACCGGUGGCGAAGGCGGCCAUCUGGACGACAACUGACGCUGAGAUGCGAAAGCGUGGGGAGCAAACAGG
Molecule: ribosomal RNA, 253 nt
Filed under: uncultured bacterium
Lineage: Bacteria
Description: partial 16S ribosomal RNA
Rfam family: Bacterial small subunit ribosomal RNA
Source: RNAcentral